RNAcentral lists this ribosomal RNA (468 nucleotides) under uncultured bacterium. RNAcentral describes it as "partial 16S ribosomal RNA". It matches the Rfam family "Bacterial small subunit ribosomal RNA", at positions 28 to 523 of the family's 1533-position model. The record is from RNAcentral.
GAUGAACGCCGGCGGCGUGCCUAACACAUGCAAGUCGAGCGAUUCUCUUCGGAGAAGAGCGGCGGACGGGUGAGUAACGCGUGGGUAACCUGCCCUGUACACACGGAUAACAUACCGAAAGGUAUGCUGAUACGGGAUAACAUAAGAAAUUCGCAUGUUUUUCUUAUCAAAGCUCCGGCGGUACAGGAUGGACCCGCGUCUGAUUAGCUAGUUGGUGAGGUGACGGCUCACCAAGGCGACGAUCAGUAGCCGACCUGAGAGGGUGAUCGGCCACAUUGGAACUGAGACACGGUCCAAACUCCUACGGGAGGCAGCAGUGGGGAAUAUUGCACAAUGGGCGAAAGCCUGAUGCAGCAACGCCGCGUGAGCGAUGAAGGCCUUCGGGUCGUAAAGCUCUGUCCUCAAGGAAGAUAAUGACGGUACUUGAGGAGGAAGCCCCGGCUAACUACGUGCCAGCCGCCGCGGUAA